Molecule: ribosomal RNA, 301 nt
Filed under: uncultured bacterium
Lineage: Bacteria
Description: partial 16S ribosomal RNA
Rfam family: Bacterial small subunit ribosomal RNA
Source: RNAcentral
CAGCAGCCGCGGUAAUACAGAGGCCUCAAGCGUUGUUCGGAUUCAUUGGGCGUAAAGGGAGCGUAGGCGGUCGGGUAAGUCGGAUGUGAAAUCCUGGGGCUCAACCUCAGAACUGCAUUCGAUACUGCUUGGCUAGAGGACUGGAGAGGUGAGUGGAAUUCACGGUGUAGCAGUGAAAUGCGUAGAUAUCGUGAGGAAGACCAGCGGCGAAGGCGGCUCACUGGACAGUUUCUGACGCUGAUGCUCGAAGGCCAGGGGAGCAAACGGGAUUAGAUACCCCAGUAGUCCCUGUCUCUUAUAC